RNAcentral lists this long non-coding RNA (679 nucleotides) under Lathyrus oleraceus (garden pea). RNAcentral's name for it is "Pisum sativum (pea) long non-coding RNA (PSAT_LNC034053)". Lineage: Eukaryota; Viridiplantae; Streptophyta; Magnoliopsida; Fabales; Fabaceae. The record is from RNAcentral.
UCAACCCAAGAAUACCUUCUUUCUUCACCAAAUGAGCAUCAACCUCAGAUUUCUUCAGAUGAAGAGCUUCGUCUAUAAUAUGAGAUCUGAGAAUCUCCUCAAAUCCACUAAAAGGUACUUUGUCAGAUACAGGUAUACCCAAAAGAUGGUCAUACUCCUUUAACGUAGGUGUCGCAUCUCGAAAAAUGCGAUUCCUCGCGAUGGUCGCGGAAAAAAUUAUGUUCGAACAGAGUCGCCACCGAACUUUAUUUAUCCCAAUAAAGGGAUAGGGAAAUAUCAAUAAAACCUUUAGGAAAUAGAAUAGUGGUCGUCGCAACCAUAUUCGAGUUCGGGAGUGGAUUACGUAAGGGGAAGGUAUUAGCACCCCUUACGUCCGUUGUACUCAACGGGAACCUUUUAGUUCUAAUGUGCGUUUCGUGUGUUAAUUUAUGUUUGUUUGUUUUCUUUGGGUUAUAAAAUAUUGAAAAAUGGAAAUGGAUGUGAACCUCAGAAAGGGAAAGGAGAGGUUUUUUAUUAGUGUGCUCGCGAAGAUACAACAAUCUCCUGCCUACGUAUCCUUAUGGUAUAAUAAGGAAAUCAGAGCAUUCGUAGUUCGGGGAACUAUGGUUGGUUGGUGUCUUUUAAUGAACGACUAUUUAGAUCGCAUUCUAAAGGCUAAACGUCGGUUUGUCUACUCUCG